GCAGGUGUAGUACAUCGGCUAGUACGCGGCCUUGCCAAGGCUGAGAGGGCGGUUCGAUUCCGCUCACUUGCUCCA
Molecule: transfer RNA, 75 nt
Filed under: Clostridium sp. CAG:433
Lineage: Bacteria; Bacillati; Bacillota; Clostridia; Eubacteriales; Clostridiaceae
Also listed under: 1 other name
Description: transfer RNA-Gly(GCC)
Rfam family: tRNA
About the family: Transfer RNA (tRNA) molecules are approximately 80 nucleotides in length. Their secondary structure includes four short double-helical elements and three loops (D, anti-codon, and T loops).
Source: RNAcentral